UAGCGCCGUCCACCUCUCUCUCUCUCUCUCUCUCUCUCUCUCUCUCUCUCUCUCUCGGCGUGGAUGGCGUGGGCGGAGGUCACGCGCGUCCCGCCGCCAAUCUGCUCCUGUAUGCGGUGCGGCUGGCCUUCAUCCUAGCGUGGGCGCCGCUCGUGCUGGGCCACGGUGCGGCGCGCGCGAGUUCGGCUGCUCGCGGGAUCUUCGCCUGCUCGAGAUCUGCUCUUCGUCCACCCCUCCAUGGUUCUAGGGUCAAGCUGCCCUUUGAGAUCCGCGCGCUCGAACUCGCCCUCGAGGCUGCUUGCUCCUUUCUUGUUGCACAGGUGAUCAUCGAAACUCAACUUCAUGCUCUUCCUUUUUCCUUGUUUAUUUGACCCUUGUGCGAUUUGAUUAGGAUAUGGUCAGAUGAUGUUAUUCUGUGUCUGAACUCUAUUCGAUAGUAAUGGAUAGUUGAGCCCACAAUUUCAGUUCACACGAUUGGCCUUUGAAAGUCUGAAUCAGGAUUCUGAAAUUAUACUAGUAAUGUAGCUCUCUAUUUCUGAAUUCAGGAAGCCUGUACAAGGUUAAACACACUAGUUUUAUUUUGCACUACCUGUAUGUCAUGCCAAUGCCAUGCCUCUGCUUGUGAAGGAUUAGUAGAGUACACAGUUUAAAGUUUUGCAGUAGUACUCUGCCCUUUGCUAGUUACAUACCAUGUAGUUUUUAUUACUAUGAAUUGUUAGUUACAUCUGCAGAUUGCUAAGUUUGUUUGGAAGCAUUAACAUUUUAUUACUUUGUACAAGUGAAUGAGUUCUAUGACCUGUGUAUUUCUGAAUCCAGAAAGCCAUUCUAGCAGAGUUAUGUUUAUGCAGUAAUUCCCUCUUCGUGGUAGUCCUUUUAGUUGAAUUCUCGCAGCAUGAUUUCGUUUUGUUCUUAUCUUAACCUGAGCAAAUGUCCGUAUUUGUUUAGAAUACUCAGAAAUUUAUCAUAUGCUACAUGUAUUAAGCUGAACUGAUUGUUUAGUACAUUCAUGCGGUUGUGCCAAAACUGCCUUUGUUCUUUCUUGAGUACCAUCUUAGUUCUUUGUAAAAUGGGCAUGUUGCUAAUAGCCUAAUAUCUUUGUUUAUUUACUGGAAUCAAGAUUAUGAUAUGCCCAUGCAUCAAUCUGAAAGUUGGUUGCUCCCACAAAACAUAGGCUGCAAUUUUUUCCUAAUUGCAUCAAUUUUAUAGCAAUUUGCAUACAUAUUUAUCAUGCACCUUUUUGUGUAGUAAUCAUUAAUCCUUGUUUAACGCCUCUCUCCUAGAGAGAAAGCGUGUGCUAAGGCAAGCAGCUUGGAGAGAAAGCUGCUCUGCACAGCAGCAGGUCGGCAGAAGCAGGUGGCCAUGAACAUCAUUUGCAGGUACUAUGACAUCAAGGUACGCUGAGACUGAUGCAAAACUUGAGGUCGUGCUUAAAACAUGGAUUUGCUGGAAGCUACUUUUUUUUUGUUUUUCAGAAUUGUGAGAGGUUUUGCUAGAGUUACACUGAUUUCAUGCUGAAUUGAAAAACUUUGAUGUUGUAUCAUGUAUGAGUUGUUGGAUUAGAUUGUAUGCUAGUUUAUAUCUUGAUUUGAGCUGAAAUGAUAAUGCAUUGAUUAGAAAAACAUGCUGUAUUUUAAUGGCCCAGAUGUAAAAUGGGCUCUGACUUUUUUAUGAGUAGAAACUUAAUUGGGCCAUAUGCAAAUGGGCCCAAAUUGACU
Long non-coding RNA from Panicum virgatum (switchgrass), 1715 nucleotides. RefSeq lists it as uncharacterized. The transcript has 2 exons. Lineage: Eukaryota; Viridiplantae; Streptophyta; Magnoliopsida; Poales; Poaceae. The record is from RefSeq and is a predicted model, not a curated record.